AGAGUUUGAUCCUGGCUCAGAACGAACGCUGGCGGCGUGGAUAAGACAUGCAAGUCGAGCGGGACAUCGUGGGUAGCAAUAUUCGCAAUGUCUAGCGGCGAAAGGGUGCGUAACACGUGGGCAAUCUGCCAUGAAGACCGGGACAACCUGCUGAAAGGCGAGCUAAUACCGGAUGUGGUAACUGGAAGGCAUCUUCAAGUUACUGAAGUUGGGUUCCGCAAGGUCCAACACUUCAUGAUGAGCCCGCGGCCUAUCAGGUAGUUGGCGGGGUAACGGCCCACCAAGCCUAAGACGGGUAGCUGGUCUGAGAGGACGACCAGCCACACUGGAACUGAGACACGGUCCAGACACCUACGGGUGGCAGCAGUCGAGAAUUUUUCUCAAUGGGCGAAAGCCUGAAGGAGCGACGCCGCGUGGGGGAUGAAGGGCUUCGGCCUGUAAACCCCUGUCAUUUGCGAACAAAGCCAACUGCUGAAAAGGCAGUGGGUUUGAUAGUAGCGAAAGAGGAAGGGACGGCUAACUCUGUGCCAGCAGCCGCGGUAAUACAGAGGUCCCAAGCGUUGUUCGGAUUCACUGGGCGUAAAGGGUGCGUAGGUGGCGUUGUAAGUUCGGUGUGAAAUCUUCGAGCUUAACUCGAAAAUGGCAUUGAAAACUAUAUCGCUCGAGGGUCGGAGGGGAGACUGGAAUUCUCGGUGUAGCAGUGAAAUGCGUAGAUAUCGAGAGGAACACCAGUGGCGAAGGCGAGUCUCUGGACGACUCCUGACACUGAGGCACGAAAGCUAGGGGAGCAAACAGGAUUAGAUACCCUGGUAGUCC
This 816-nucleotide ribosomal RNA is filed under the name uncultured bacterium. RNAcentral describes it as "bacterial SSU rRNA". It matches the Rfam family "Bacterial small subunit ribosomal RNA", at positions 8 to 796 of the family's 1533-position model. The record is from RNAcentral.